GAGAUAGUAAGUAAAAAGAGACCACUACGAGGUAGACAGCUUCCCUUCCUUACUUUUCUUAAUAAGCCCUUGAUCGAGUAGUUCAUCCGAAAGCAUUUGAUCCAUCUUUCUUCUUUACAAAACAAAGAGAACGGGUGACCCCCAAGGUGAUGCACUAGGCCUGAUAAAACCCUUAUCCGUUAGCUCUUGCAACUGCUUCUUGAGCUCUACUA
This 212-nucleotide long non-coding RNA is filed under the name Oryza brachyantha (malo sina). RNAcentral describes it as "long non-coding RNA (OBRA_LNC003674)". Lineage: Eukaryota; Viridiplantae; Streptophyta; Magnoliopsida; Poales; Poaceae. The record is from RNAcentral.